GUAGCUUAACCUUCGGGAGGGCGCUUACCACUUUGUGAUUCAUGACUGGGGUGAAGUCGUAACAAGGUAACCGUAGGGGAACCUGCGGUUGGAUCACCUCCUUA
This 104-nucleotide ribosomal RNA is filed under the name Citrobacter freundii. RNAcentral's name for it is "partial 16S ribosomal RNA". It matches the Rfam family "Bacterial small subunit ribosomal RNA", at positions 1430 to 1533 of the family's 1533-position model. The record is from RNAcentral. Lineage: Bacteria; Pseudomonadati; Pseudomonadota; Gammaproteobacteria; Enterobacterales; Enterobacteriaceae. RNAcentral also lists the same sequence under 9 other names.